CAUGCCUUGAGUGUAGGACUGUGGGCAUCUUAAUUACCCUCCCACACCCAAGGCUUGCA
RNAcentral lists this microRNA precursor (59 nucleotides) under Dasypus novemcinctus (nine-banded armadillo). Its description in RNAcentral is "microRNA dno-mir-532 precursor". Its record names the gene dno-mir-532. The record is from miRBase by way of RNAcentral. Lineage: Eukaryota; Metazoa; Chordata; Mammalia; Cingulata; Dasypodidae.